AUGUCGAGGAGAAAGGAGCCGUUAGUGUGUAUGUCCAGCCACGCCGCCGCGGCCAUCUCCGCUAUGAUCACCAGCCAGGUGUACCCGCAGCCGCCACGGGUCGCCACACACACCAGGCAGCGGAGCAGGAGCCAAGAGCUACGGCCUGUGGCGUCGCUCCCAAAAGGCAAAGUCAUCGGGGUGAGGCCCUUCGCUCUACUGAGCCGCAAAGCGCUGUCCCGUGGACAGACACGGGGUUGACCGGCAGUCUGUUAGUGCUCUUCGGAGAACCUUCUGUACGCAGCGCACGGUCCUUAGUUUCACACACACAGUACCGCACUCUAACGUUGGUCACUUGAUUGAACUUUGCCUCGGGGGACAUACACUCUUCCCUGGCAUGACAGGGGUCAUUACUUGCUGAAAACUCCUCUCGGCAUUUAUGGUCUGUCCCAUUGUGCUUUGACUGACACUGAGUUGCUAGACACACACUCACAC
This 474-nucleotide long non-coding RNA is filed under the name Scleropages formosus (Asian bonytongue). Its description in RNAcentral is "lncRNA (ENSSFOG00015025284.1)". The record is from RNAcentral. Lineage: Eukaryota; Metazoa; Chordata; Actinopteri; Osteoglossiformes; Osteoglossidae.